UCCUACGGGAGGCAGCAGUGGGGAAUAUUGCACAAUGGGGGAAACCCUGAUGCAGCGACGCCGCGUGAGUGAUGAAGUAUUUCGGUAUGUAAAGCUCUAUCAGCAGGGAAGAUAAUGACGGUACCUGACUAAGAAGCUCCGGCUAAAUACGUGCCAGCAGCCGCGGUAAUACGUAUGGAGCAAGCGUUAUCCGGAUUUACUGGGUGUAAAGGGAGCGUAGACGGCCAUGCAAGUCUGAUGUGAAAACCCGGGGCUCAACCCCGGGACUGCAUUGGAAACUGUGCGGCUGGAGUGUCGGAGAGGCA
Molecule: ribosomal RNA, 305 nt
Filed under: uncultured bacterium
Lineage: Bacteria
Description: bacterial SSU rRNA
Rfam family: Bacterial small subunit ribosomal RNA
Source: RNAcentral